RNAcentral lists this ribosomal RNA (253 nucleotides) under uncultured bacterium. RNAcentral describes it as "partial 16S ribosomal RNA". It matches the Rfam family "Bacterial small subunit ribosomal RNA", at positions 524 to 776 of the family's 1533-position model. The record is from RNAcentral.
UACGUAGGGUGCAAGCGUUGUCCGGAAUUAUUGGGCGUAAAGAGCUCGUAGGCGGUCUGUUGCGUCGGCUGUGAAAACCCGAGGCUCAACCUCGGGCCUGCAGCCGAUACGGGCAGACUAGAGUUCGGCAGGGGAGACUGGAAUUCCUGGUGUAGCGGUGAAAUGCGCAGACAUCAGGAGGAACACCGGUGGCGAAGGCGGGUCUCUGGGCCGAUACUGACGCUGAGGAGCGAAAGCGUGGGGAGCGAACAGG